ACGCACGCUGGCGGCAUGCCUCACACCUGCAAGUCGAACGCGACCUUCGGGUCUAGUGGCGCACGGGUGCGUAACGCGUGGGAACCUGCCCUUAGGUUCGGAAUAACUCCCCGAAAGGGGUGCUAAUACCGGAUAAUGUCUUCGGACCAAAGAUUUAUCGCCUUUGGAUGGGCCCGCGUUGGAUUAGCUAGUUGGUAGGGUAAAAGCCUACCAAGGCGACGAUCCAUAGCUGGUCUGAGAGGAUGAUCAGCCACACUGGGACUGAGACACGGCCCAGACUCCUACGGGAGGCAGCAGUGGGGAAUAUUGGACAAUGGGCGAAAGCCUGAUCCAGCAAUGCCGCGUGAGUGAUGAAGGCCUUAGGGUUGUAAAGCUCUUUUACCCGGGAUGAUAAUGACAGUACCGGGAGAAUAAGCUCCGGCUAACUCCGUG
RNAcentral lists this ribosomal RNA (432 nucleotides) under uncultured bacterium. Its description in RNAcentral is "partial 16S ribosomal RNA". It matches the Rfam family "Bacterial small subunit ribosomal RNA", at positions 29 to 507 of the family's 1533-position model. The record is from RNAcentral.